CCUACGGGAGGCAGCAGUAGGGAAUAUUGCGCAAUGGAGGCAACUCUGACGCAGCAACGCCGCGUGGAGGAUGAAGGUUUUAGGAUUGUAAACUCCUGUGGUGGGAGAUGAUUAUGAUGAUGGUAAACGAAUAGCAAGCCGCUAACUCCGUCCUACCAGCCGCGGUAAUACGGCGGAGGCAAGAGUUAUUAGGAAGCACUGGGCGGAAAGAGUGCGUAGGUGGGGUAGUAGGUCAGAUGUGAAAUCCUGUGGCUUAACUACGGCACUGCAUUUGAAACUAGUAGUCUGGAGUGGAGGAGGGGUAAGUGGAAUUCUUGGUGUAGGGGUAGAAUCCGUAGAGAUUAAGAGGAAUA
Molecule: ribosomal RNA, 353 nt
Filed under: uncultured bacterium
Lineage: Bacteria
Description: partial 16S ribosomal RNA
Rfam family: Bacterial small subunit ribosomal RNA
Source: RNAcentral